UAGCUAUUUAUAAAUAUUUGAAUCAGAUUGUAACCUUUAUGUAUUUAUAUAUUAUUUAUAUUAUUUUUACUAUAUCUUAGUAUUAUUGAUAUUAUUGAUACUGUCUAUUAACCUAUUUAGAGGAAGAUAUACAAUAGAGAUUAUAUUGUAAGAAUAUAUGAUCAUAAAUUUAAGUGUGACUAUAGUAACAUUGAAUUAGCAUUAUAGUAUAAUAUUGGAUAUUGAAUGAUAACCUGUGUAUAAAUUGGGAGAACUUUGUAUAUGAUAAAUGGGUAAGUGGAAAUUGCAGGGGUAAAGGGUAGCCAAUUGAUGGUAUUGUGGAAAAAUAUCUUCAGGGUACUGAAAAUGACAAGUAUAACGACCACUACAAAAACAGGGAAGAAAAUGUCAAAUCCAUCAUUGACAAUAGCAUCCCCGUCGGGUCAAUGUUCAAUAGAGGAUAUGCUGAGUGGUGAGAAAACAGGCUCUAUACUGAGUAUGCAGACCAUGCAGAUGACUCUCCUUACGAUACAGGAAACUGAUGAGAAUGCAAGAGGCAGUAGGGAAGAGAUAGAGAGUAAGAGCCAGGAAAAACAGCAAAUAGAAGGGAAAGAGACCGACCAAGACAAAAGAAGAAGCGGGGAAACAGAAUGUUAUGAAAGAGAAGGUGCGAGAACAAGAGCACAGAGAGAAACAAGGACUAAUAGAAGACAGAGACCUAUGUAUAAACAAUAACAUGGAGGAGGAGAUUAAGUUGAUAUCAAUAAAUAUUAAUAGAAUGAAUUGACCUGCAAAAAGGAAACAAACACUGGUAAAUUUACAAAAACAGAAUACAGACAUUGUGUGUUUACAGGAAGUACAUAUUAAGAGGCAUCAGGGCAGUAGCUUAGAAUAUCCAAAAAUUGGGAAAGUCCAUUUAUCCCUUGCUCACCAAAAGAAGAGAAGAAUAGUGGUAUAUAUCAAAGAGUGGUUAAAACCCAAGCAAAUAUGUUCUGAUGAGGAUGGAAAAAUACUAAUGAUUGAAAUAAUAGUAAAUGAGAAACAAACGUUGCUUGCGGUAAUAUAUGUGCCAAACAAUAAUCAGAAGGAAUUUUAUCGCAAACUGCAUGGGAAAAUAAUAGAGACAGAAUAUGAAAACAUUUUUAGUGGGUGAUUUCAAUGCAGUGGUGGAUAUUAAGAAAGACUACAAGUAAUAAAAAAAAAUAAAAGUAAAAUGCUACCAAAUACAUUCUUUGAGAUGAUACAAGAACUAAAUCUGCAAGAUAUAUGGAUAAACCUAAAUCCAAAAAAGAAUCAAUACACCUUCUAUCCAAGUCUGCAUAAUUCAUGGUCGAGGAUAGACAUGGGAUCAACCCGGAAAUGGGAAGAAACAUAGAAAAGAUAGAAAUCAUGACAAAUACAUGGGCGGACCAUAAUCCUUUGAAAGUGAGAUGGAAAGGACAGAAAAAAAGGAGAUGGAUCUUGACCCAAAAGAUUUUGAAAGAAAAAGACUAUGUCCAAAUGAUCGGAAAAGAAUUGGAAUUAUUUGUUAAAGAAAAUAAGAAAGAACAAACAUCGCUGCAAAAUUUAUGGGAUACCACUAAAGCACACGUGCGAGGAUUAAUGAUAGCAUAUGUAGUUCGAAGAAACAAGGAAAAGGGGAAACAAUAAAUUUUGCUUCAGGAAGAACUUAAAAAAAUGGAAUUAAUACUACAAAAAGAACCUCAGAACAACAAAAUCAAAGGAGAAAGGGGCUUUAGUUAAACAUAAAAUAAAUCUAAUGACACAAGAAGAAAGGGCACAAAAUCUUAAAAUGGUGAAACAAAAUGUCUUUGAACAUGCAAAUAAACCAGGGAGAUGGCUGUCAUAU
Pseudonaja textilis is the source of this 1828-nucleotide non-coding RNA. Lineage: Eukaryota; Metazoa; Chordata; Lepidosauria; Squamata; Elapidae. The record is from RefSeq and is a predicted model, not a curated record.